Molecule: long non-coding RNA, 1178 nt
Organism: Spodoptera frugiperda (fall armyworm)
Lineage: Eukaryota; Metazoa; Arthropoda; Insecta; Lepidoptera; Noctuidae
Exons: 3
Source: RefSeq, a predicted model, not a curated record
UUAUUGCUAUAAUUUUUCUGAAUUUCGGAACGUAUUUAAUAAAUUCUGUUUUAUCUAUGGUAUGGAUAUUUACUUUGCAAUAAUUUUCAUGACAUGAGACUACAUUUUGCUGCAAUUACAAGCGAUUUGAUCUGGUUUUGUUAUAAUUUCGUUUCAAUUUUAUGCGAAUAGGUACUGAGUUUAUAAAAGUAACAUAAUAUUGUCUUGUACUUAUAUAAUUAGUUUUUGUGUAUUUCGGAUUCCGUUUACAUCUAGGUACCUACUAUGUCGGGGUCCUACGAGAAAGCUGGCGUAUCAACGCCACGAAUAUUCAGGCGCCCGUAAAUCGUCAAAACGAGUGAAAAGCGCAUUCAGUUGGAUACAUGUGGACGACAAGAUAGUAAACGUGUAAAUUAUAACUCAAGUUGUGGCCAGCUUCAUUGUAAACAAACUUUAGUUUUCAAGUUCAAGGACAAAUGCGUGUCAGUAACAUGGAUAAAUGCUACUUCAUAUGUUUUAUUUCAGUCAAUGAACCUUUGACUGUUAUAGAAGUUUGUCGAGAUAAUAUAAUGACUUUAUCAGCAAUAUGAUGCCAAAGUUAAUACACUUUUUUAAAGAAUGUAUUCUGCCAGAAAUAGUUUUGAGACAUGUUCAAAAAAUGCGAAAUGUAUACCUAGGUAUGAAAGCAGCUGUGUAGCGGUAGUUUCCAGGCAAUAAUGAGGAAGGAUGAGCGAAAACAACACGACAAAUGUUUUUUUAUUGUACUAUUAUAGUAGUGUGUUUAGAAUCUACAUUAUCAAUGUUUACAGUCAUGUUUUUUUUGAUGUCAGAAAACUGAAAUGGUGUACUCGUCGUAAUGAACAUAAUGUUCAUAAUGUGAUAUGAAUACAUUGACCUAUUUUAAGGUUUCUGAAAAACAAAAAGGAAAGUUGUUGCUUUUUUAUUUCCUUAUGUAGUAUAGUGAUUAUGGAUGCUUAGAUAUUCUCAAACAUUUUUCCGCUUUGAUUGCAAUCUAUUAUUCUGGUUGCCUUGUUUAUGAAUUAUAGUUUUGAAUUAUUAUUUUGAAUGAGAUUAUUUUUUAUUAAUCAGUCACGUAUCAAGCAUUCAUAUCACAUAAAUACUUGUAAUAAUUGCAGGUUAGUAUAUACAUUCUAUUAAAUAAUGUAUAAGAUAAUAAAAUAAAACUGUCUUACAUUGCA